This 446-nucleotide RNase P RNA is filed under the name Haloarcula vallismortis. RNAcentral's name for it is "Archaeal RNase P". It matches the Rfam family "Archaeal RNase P". From Rfam's summary of the family: Ribonuclease P (RNase P) is a ubiquitous endoribonuclease, found in archaea, bacteria and eukarya as well as chloroplasts and mitochondria. The record is from RNAcentral. Lineage: Archaea; Methanobacteriati; Methanobacteriota; Halobacteria; Halobacteriales; Haloarculaceae.
GGCAGCGGGAGGCCGGCUCCCGUGGCGCAAGCCAUGAGGAAAGUCCCCCCACCUGUCGGACAGGUGACCGGGCGCAAGUCCGGGGCGGGAGACCGUCGGCUCUGGAACAGCAACGACACGUCGUCGCCGGACCAAUGAGGUGUGCGAAUCCCGAGCGAGGCUGUGUACCGCACCAGACGGUGUGGCACGCCGCCAAAGCGAGGGAGAGUUAACCCACCGAGGGCAGUUGCGCCCGGUGACUCCGGGUGCGCGUUUGUGGACCACAUCCGUGCUCCACGCGUGGGCCGCUGACGCGCCCCACGCUUCCGGCGACGGACCGAUGGAACGGCGAAACCUCACCGGUGCAAGGCCGCGUCGACAGGUAGUCCGACACCGCGCGCAAGCGCUGGACGUGGCCGCUCAGCCGAAUGCUGGCCCGAACAGAAGGGGGCUUACUCCCCGCAGCC